This 460-nucleotide ribosomal RNA is filed under the name uncultured bacterium. RNAcentral describes it as "partial 16S ribosomal RNA". It matches the Rfam family "Bacterial small subunit ribosomal RNA", at positions 338 to 795 of the family's 1533-position model. The record is from RNAcentral.
CCUACGGGAGGCAGCAGUGAGGAAUAUUGGUCAAUGGGCGCAAGCCUGAACCAGCCAAGUCGCGUGAGGGAAGACGGCCCUACGGGUUGUAAACCUCUUUUGCCGGGGAGCAAGCCUGAGCACGUGUGCCCAGGCGGAGAGUACCCGGAGAAAAAGCAUCGGCUAACUCCGUGCCAGCAGCCGCGGUAAUACGGAGGAUGCGAGCGUUAUCCGGAUUUAUUGGGUUUAAAGGGUGCGCAGGCGGGCUGUUAAGCCGGCGGUAAAAAUUCAGGGAGCAACCCUGUCGAGCCGUCGGAACUGGCAGUCUUGAGUGGGCGAGAAGUAUGCGGAAUGCGUGGUGUAGCGGUGAAAUGCAUAGAUAUCACGCAGAACUCCGAUUGCGAAGGCAGCAUGCCGGCGCUCAACUGACGCGCAUGCACGAAAGUGUGGGUAUCGAACAGGAUUAGAUACCCCGGUAGUC